UGAAUCAGCACAGAUCUUGGGCCA
This 24-nucleotide non-coding RNA is filed under the name Mus musculus (house mouse). RNAcentral also lists the same sequence under 1 other name. Lineage: Eukaryota; Metazoa; Chordata; Mammalia; Rodentia; Muridae. The record is from RNAcentral.